Molecule: ribosomal RNA, 143 nt
Filed under: uncultured Rhodocyclaceae bacterium
Lineage: Bacteria; Pseudomonadati; Pseudomonadota; Betaproteobacteria; Rhodocyclales; Rhodocyclaceae
Description: partial 16S rRNA
Rfam family: Bacterial small subunit ribosomal RNA
Source: RNAcentral
AUGGGCGCAGCCUGAUCCAGCCAUGCCGCGUGAGUGAUGAAGGCCUUCGGGUUGUAAGCUCUUUCAUGCCGGGAAGAUAUCGUGUUCUCUAACAUAGGCCAUGGAUGACGGUACCGGACUAAUAAGCACCGGCUAACUACGUG